GAUAAAGAUCCAGAUAAAGUAUCCGUUUGUCUUGCAUCUACAUUGGAUACUAUUGCACAGAUGGAGUUGUUACAGGCCCCAGGCUUAUCAUUUUUGUUGCCUCAGCAGUACGUGAAAUACCCAAGGUAAGGGCUGUCAUUAUUUCUCUUCUUAAUAUGGCAUUUCUACUGAUUGAAAAGCGAGUUGCUUAAUGACAACCAUGUACGUACAUCGAUUAUCAAAUCCGAGGACGAUUACAUCUUGCAUAUUAAAUGUGCCGUUUUGA
RNAcentral lists this unclassified non-coding RNA (265 nucleotides) under Hevea brasiliensis (rubber tree). The record is from RNAcentral. Lineage: Eukaryota; Viridiplantae; Streptophyta; Magnoliopsida; Malpighiales; Euphorbiaceae.